AAGUCGUAACAAGGUUUUUCGUAGGUGAACCUGCGGAAGGAUCAUUAGUGAACACUGGACUCUGACUCUGCAAAGAGGAAGUUUCCUUUCCACUACCACAUACACUUGUGCAUCUGUUCUUUUUUACAAUUCACUUUGUAAAGGAUUUUUAACACUUGUGCUAAUUAUUAAUGUCGUUGAUGUAAAACAAUUUGAUAAAUGAAAGAAAAA
Molecule: unclassified non-coding RNA, 210 nt
Filed under: plant metagenome
Description: partial contains small subunit ribosomal RNA and internal transcribed spacer 1
Rfam family: Eukaryotic small subunit ribosomal RNA (bases 1-47)
Source: RNAcentral